This is a long non-coding RNA of Hemicordylus capensis (graceful crag lizard), 1191 nucleotides long. RefSeq lists it as uncharacterized. The transcript has 2 exons. The record is from RefSeq and is a predicted model, not a curated record. NCBI's taxonomy places the organism in Eukaryota, Metazoa, Chordata, Lepidosauria, Squamata, Cordylidae.
GAGUGCCAGCAGGAAGGAAGGAAGGAAGGUAGGUGGCCAGCACUGGCCACCCUUGCCCACCACAGCUCUGCCCAGCUUUUGACUCUUCAGCUUUAGUAAUGGAGAAAAUAUAUUAUUGACUUUCUUCAAUCAAGUACGGGAAAGAAUCUUUAAAUGCUUAUUCAAAAAGGAGAUGCAUUAUUGAAGACUGAUAUGAAAACUACACAAGAGUUUGUUUAAAGGUCAUUUUCAUCUUGUUUUCCCUGUGGCUAUCAGAAUACAGAGCACUUUACAUCUCAGAAAUAAUUACAAAGGAAGACAAAUAAUUACAAAGGAAGAUGCUGAGAAUGGGGCCUUCAGAGACUUACUUUCUUCACUAUAUUAAUUCAUGAAAGGUAUUUUAUAUUAUAUGAACCAGCUGUAAUAGCUUUCCAUAAAAGGUAGUGUGUUUAACCAAUAAUAAAUAAGAUGGAUACCUAUCCCCAAAGGGCUCACAAUCUAAAAGGUUUUACCAGUAGAAUCAACAUAUUAGUGCUUUUCCAAAAACAGCCUUGUGAGAGUAGUGAUUUUUUUUUCUUUUUGCAAAGCCUGAUUUUCCCCUUUUGUAUAAAAAUUAAUGAACUGAAUCUACAGCAAACAUUCACCCCUCUUGGCAAUGCACAUAUUUAUUGUCCAUAUUUCACCCUUCAGCAAGGCAUACACCUUCAAAUAAGCAUUUUGACGUCUUUGUGAGGAAGCAAAGCCCUUGGAGUUGAAAUCUACCAAUAGGAGAGAAGGCAAUCAGAACAGAAUGGUGAAGGCUAGAUUUGUCAUAGCAGGUAUCCUACCAGGAUGAAUUCAAAUAGGUGGUAGCAACACCAAAAUUAGGUCCUAUUGUGAUUAAACUGAUUAACCUACUCAGGUUCAUAAUUUGUAGGAUGGCUCCCUCACUAUACCCAUUUGAAAGUCCAAGUAUGUAAUGUCUACUGAAAUGCUGUUCACAAAUAGUGCAUGCCUAUUUCAUUUAUCUGUCAUUUAAAUGAAGCUGACUUUUUCUUUUUUUGGGGGGGGGGAGAAAGAAUUUAGCUAUUUUUACAGGUAUUGUAAUCUUCCUUUAGCAGAUAGGAGAAAGAAAAAUUGUUCCUUCUUGUCUCAUUUAAUCUCUUUAAGUUCAAUCAUACCACCUUGGUGCACACAAAGAGCCAAGAAUGUCAAUAAAAUACUGAUAAUGGA